Molecule: ribosomal RNA, 254 nt
Filed under: uncultured bacterium
Lineage: Bacteria
Description: partial 16S ribosomal RNA
Rfam family: Bacterial small subunit ribosomal RNA
Source: RNAcentral
UACGAAGGGGGCUAGCGUUGUUCGGAAUUACUGGGCGUAAAGCGUGCGCAGGCGGCUUCUCAAGUCAGGGGUGAAAGCCCAGAGCUCAACUCUGGAAUUGCCUUUGAGACUGAGUGGCUUGAGUACGGGAGAGGUGAGUGGGAAUUCCCAGUGUAGAGGUGAAAUUCGUAGAUAUCCGGAAGAACACCGAUGGCGAAGGCAACCACCUGGGCCUGCACUGACGCUGAGGUACGAAAGCGUGGGGAGCAAACAGG